GACGAACGCUGGCGGCGUGCCUAAUACAUGCAAGUAGAACGCACAGUUUAUACCGUAGCUUGCUACACCAUAGACUGUGAGUUGCGAACGGGUGAGUAACGCGUAGGUAACCUGCCUGGUAGCGGGGGAUAACUAUUGGAAACGAUAGCUAAUACCGCAUAAUCUUGAUUAUUGCAUGAUAAUUAAUUGAAAGGUGCAAUUGCACCACUACCAGAUGGACCUGCGUUGUAUUAGCUAGUAGGUGAGGUAACGGCUCACCUAGGCGAAGAUACAUAGCCGAACUUGGAGGGUGAUCGGCCACACUGGGACUGAGACACGGCCCAGACUCCUACGGGAGGGAGCAGUAGGGGAUCUUCGGCAAUGGACGAAAGUCUGACCGGGCAACGCCGCGUGGGUGAAGAAGGUUUUCGGGACGGAAAGCUCUGUUGUAAGGGAAGAACGGGUGUGGGAGUGGAAAGUUCACGCUGUGACGGUAUCUUACCAGAAAGGGACGGCUAACUACGUG
This 505-nucleotide ribosomal RNA is filed under the name uncultured bacterium. Its description in RNAcentral is "partial 16S ribosomal RNA". It matches the Rfam family "Bacterial small subunit ribosomal RNA", at positions 28 to 507 of the family's 1533-position model. The record is from RNAcentral.